CUUGCUUUUUUGUUUAUGAAAACUCUGGGAAGACUAUGAAGAUCGUGAGGAAAGAAUAUCUCCGCAUAGAAAUCCAAAAAGCCCCAUAAGCGAAGCAUUUCCAAAUUUCUGAGUAUACGAGCACAAGCAUUGCAGGUGAUCCUGAACCAUGUGGCAAAACCUGUUUGCGAUGUCUACAUUAAACUCCUCAAAACAACGCCCGUAUUGUAGGAUUCUCACAGAACAACUUGAAAUAACCAAGAAGUAUGGCAGACUUCCAUAACGAGUGGAGAUAUAGAGCUCAUGGUUCAGAUUGAUGCCUUGCAUUGGUCCUUCGGAAACCCUGAAAUAAAAUUAGAAAAGGAAUCUUGUGACUUAUUGCUCUUUUCUUAAUUUAUUCAUAUUUGUCCAGCCAAUCAAAGUGGUAACAAGUUAGAAACCUUGAUUCUAAGUUCCAAAUGUAGAAUAUCAAAGUACCUUGAUUCUAAGCGAAGCAUUUUCAAAAUUUCAGACUAUAUGAGCACAAGCAUUGCAGGUAAUCCGGAACGAUGUGUCAAAACCUGUUAGCGACGUCUACAUUAAACUCCUGAAAACAAUGGUCGUAUUGUAGGGUCCUCACAGAACAACCUUGAUAUAACAAACAAGUAAGACAGAUUGUGCUGCCCUUCAAUAGAAUACCAAGUAUCCUUACAUAUAUGCACAUAUCUUAGAUUAGUUAAUGUAUAAAGUAUAUUCCUUUCGGACAAAGUACCUGUCGAUUGAUCUAUUAAUAAAGUUAGCAGCAUGUGCUGCCCUUCAAGAACAAAUUCCCUGGUUGAUCCUGCUGAAAUGGCCAGAAUAAGUUACUUUCAAAAUACGAGGACCUGUAAAUAAUCUUGAAUGUAACAUAGAUCUAUCAAUUAAAAGGCAAAAGAAUACCAAAGUUACAAGACUAAUCAAUUAACAAUAUACCACAGGCAAUAUGAUUCUCUUAAACGUAAAGUUGGGAUGAGAGAUUUGAAAGUGUCAAGGGCUUAAGGCUAAAUUAGUUGGAGGGAUAUGAAAUAAAAUUAGAAAAGGAAUCUUGUGACUUAUUGCUCUUUUCUUAAUUUAUUCAUAUUUGUCCAGCCAAUCAAAGUGGUAACAAGUUAGAAACCUUGAUUCUAAGUUCCAAAUGUAGAAUAUCAAAGCUCAUAAGAAUUAGAAACAAAGAGAAGAUUUCAGAGAGUUUUACCUUCACUGGUUUUCUCCAACUCCCAUUAUUUCCAUGUCAAAUGGGGAAAAAUCGUGUUUAAUCCUUUCUUCUCAUCGCUAUUGAAUGUCGAUGUCAACUCGAGCUCAACCCUUUUCCAUACCUCAUCUAGAAAAGAUGGUCCUGAUUCAAAGAUGAAGAAAUAAUGAUUUAUAAAGCGAUCUUAAUUACUUGUGCAAGUUUGACAAUCUGGACCUUUUCCUUUUGUUAUGAUUCACGCAUAUAAUCCAUCGACAAUGAUCAUGAAACAAGAAAAGAAAAGGAAACGUAAGUUACACUCCAGUAUUCAACAACUUACGAUGGAAUCUGUAAGAGUGCAGCAGCCAGCCAAAUUCACACGUUGUUUUUGUGCAGAAACAUAUCGGCACCUAUGUAAAGAUGACAGAUGCAAUGAAAGAUGAGUAAGCAUUCCACCGUAUUCAAACCACAACAGUAAGAGGAAAAAAAAAAACAUCAUCAAGGAGUUACCUCGUCCUGUGCAGGAGAAUCAUAUUGGUGUCAUAGCUAGCCAGAGCACCCAAUAACUUACUUGGAGUUACCUCGUCCUGUGCAGGAGUUACCUUGAUUGAUUCUCGUUUGAUUGCUUCAGUCCAAAUGCUAGAAAUAAAAUAAGGUGUUUAUGAGGAUUAAAGGGUGUGCAAAUAUCACUUCCCCAGAUUUAUGAUCCAACUAUUCGGAAGCUGGCCAGCUUCUCAAGAACGCUUUCUCCUCCGAAUCAGCAGUGCCAUACAGAGAGAAAUCCAAAGAAGGAAACGACUCCCAUAUAGGAGUUUUAUGCAGAAACUGGGGCAGCCUAAUACUGGCAACGUGGAUGCAAACCUACUUUCUCUUCUGAUGUCUAGAAACUUCAAUUAACCUCAGGACAUGAGCUCCAUGCUUUCUUCAAUGCUUUCACAAGGUCUAGAAGAUCUGCGUGUUUUCUUCGUUGCUUUCAGGAGUCUGGGGAACCUGCAAGUUCUCUUCAUUGUUUGCAAACCAAGUUCUGGAGGGCCUCUGGCUUCUCGCCCGUUCUUGCCUGCGAGCUAAGCAAAAAAAUUAAUGCAUCAACAACCAGUUUCCAGAAUGCAUGACCAUAAGGCUGUAUUCUAACAGCCUCACUUAUUUCCUGGCUAUAACAUAAGUCAAUAAUUUCCUUUCCGGAAUGAAAUAAACUUAAAAGUGCCACUUUUCCCAGUUUAUAUUUAAUGAACCUCCUCCUACUGUUUAGAAUUUGUACAUGAAGCGCUAUCAUGGUUCAGAGUUGUUACCAAGAAAAUUUCUAUCAUAUGACGCCUGCUCCAACCAUCCUCGACCAGAAGUGAGCUACACCGUAUCAUCAAUUUCUCCACAGCAUCUUCCUCUAGAACAGUUAAUGAAUCAAAUGGUUGCCUCCAUGAUGGACGACCCUGCAUCAUCCAGAUAAUAAUAAUACAUUAUUAUUCAACCACAAAUAAAGUAACAAUUUGUUAGUCACUCAAAAUAGAAAUAGCACGUUAGAUCUCCCCAAUUUACAGAAGGAGUGAACUUGAACUUGCCACUACAGCAUUUGAAAGUUAUAAGUAUCACAAGCAGACAAUAGCGCCUUACUAGCUCCGCUGUCGUACAUUUUGCCGGUUGACUAUUCCAACCAUCCAAUAUUCCGGCCUUCCAAUCUAUUGAUGAUCUAGUCUAUGUUGAGCAGCCUUAACAGAUGCAAGCUGAAAGCCACUGGAAAAACAGAAAGGAUCCUCACAUAUAUGCGUUUAACUUAGAUUAGUUUUAAGUAGAAACUACAUUCAUUUCGGACAAAGUACCUGUCUUCGUGCAGCCCUCGAGAACAAAUUCCCUGCUUGAUCAUGCUGAAAUGGCCAGGAACGUGUCCUUCAAACUUCUUAAAAUCUGUAGAUACAGUAAACAUGAGACCAUACAUUGCUAAGAUUAAAGGCUUGGACUGUUCGCAGACCUUAUCCAAAGUUAACUAAAUAUGUAUGUAUAUACAAUUACAUAAAUACACGCACAGACACAAAUUACACAAGGAUGCAUACAUAUAAUCGAUAAUCUAUACUUCUACUCACUCUGAAUGCAAUAUCCAUACUUACAACCUCUCAAUCGAAAUCUAACGGUUGACAUCUACAUCCUGGUAGAGAGAACGUUUCUUUUUUGGAAAAUUAUCAGUUAUUGGAUGAAGGCUGGCGAACAAAAACAUUUAUACUUCAAAAGAAUACCUAAGUUACAAGACUAAUCAAUUAACAAUAUACCACAGGCAAUAUGAUUCUCUUAAACGUAAAGUUGGGAUGAGAGAUUUGAAAGUGUCAAGGGCUUAAGGCUAAAUUAGUUGGAGGGAUAUGAAAGACUAGAUGCAAUGCAUUUAGAGGGAUUUGUAAAUGACUGCUUGAAGGGAGACAUUUAUAAAUACUUUGUUUAUGUGUGUAAUGAUCAUGUAGUGCAUUUUAAAUGUCUAUAUCCUUCAUCCAAACAUAGGGUGAGAGAACUAGGAGUUUUAGCAUACACAACUCACUGACAUAGGACAAUACAAAUUAAGGCAAAACAAACAGUGUCAAAAUCCAAAAUGCCUUACUUCUUUGAGUCAUUAUGUGUGCAUUAUGCCCUUAUCAGACUCCUUGCUUUUUUGUUUAUGAAAACUCUGGGAAGACUAUGAACAUCGUGAGGAAAGAAUAUCUCCGCAUAGAAAUCCAAAAAGCCCCAUAAGCGAAGCAUUUCCAAAUUUCUGAGUAUACGAGCACAAGCAUUGCAGGUGAUCCUGAACCAUGUGGCAAAACCUGUUUGCGACGUCUACAUUAAACUCCUAAAAACAAUGCCCGUAUUGUAGGAUUCUCACAGAACAACCUUGAAAUAACCAAGAAGUAUGGCAGACUUCCAUAACGAGCGGAGAUAUAGAGCUCAUGGUUCAGAUUGAUGCCUUGCAUUGGACCUUCGGAAACCCUGAAAUAAAAUUAGAAAAGGAAUCUUGUGACUUAUUGCUCUUUUCUUAAUUUAUUCAUAUUUGUCCAGCCAAUCAAAGUGGUAACAAGUUAGAAACCUUGAUUCUAAGUUCCAAAUGUAGAAUAUCAAAGCUCAUAAGAAUUAGAAACAAAGAGAAGAUUUCAGAGAGUUUUACCUUCACUGGUUUUCUCCAACUCCCAUUAUUUCCAUGUCAAAUGGGGAAAAAUCGUGUUUAAUCCUUUCUUCUCAUCGCUAUUGAAUGUCGAUGUCAACUCGAGCUCAACCCUUUUCCAUACCUCAUCUAGAAAAGACGGUCCUGAUUCAAAGAUGAAGAAAUAAUGAUUUAUAAAGUGAUCUUAAUUACUUGUGCAAGUUUGACAAUCUGGACCUUUUCCUUUUGUUAUGAUUCACGCAUAUAAUCCAUCGAUAAUGAUCAUGAAACAAGAAAAGAAAAGGAAACGUAAGUUACACUCCAGUAUUCAACAACUUACGAUGGAAUCUGUAAGAGUGCAGCAGCCAGCCAAAUUCACACGUUGUUUUUGUGCAGAAACAUAUCGGCACCUAUGUAAAGAUGACAGAUGCAAUGAAAGAUGAGUAAGCAUUCCACCGUAUUCAAACCACAACAGUAAGAGGAAAAAAAAACAUCAUCAAGGAGUUACCUCGUCCUGUGCAGGAGAAUCAUAUUGGUGUCAUAGCUAGCCAGAGCACCCAAUAACUUACUUGGUAUUGUACGAAGUAAUUUAUGUAAGCAAACACUUGUUGCUAUUGGAUGAUAUUGUCCUGAAAUUUAAUUGAUUGAUUAAUUAAACACAGUAUAGCUGACAGUAAACAAUUGAAGUGAAACUUUUACAGAAUCUGAAUCUCGUGUGUACGUACCUGACAUUGACUUGAGAUCUCAAUUGAUGAUGACUUGCUUGCCUAUCUUGAUGCAAGGAAUGUGAGCUAUCUUGCUCCACUCUUCUCCCGUCUUCUCCUGACACCUCUUCAUCAGAGAAGGACAGUUGUAGAUGCGCAAACAAGAGAGCGAUGCCAGCAAAUCCUCUUUUGGCAGGAAUUUGAGACUAUCACACUCGUAAAUUUGGAGCUCUUGAAGAGAAGUGAGGUGUUGAAUUCCCUUUCCCUCCAAAGAUUUCAGACUCGUAAAUUUGGAUGAUAGCGUCCUGAAAUUUAAACAAGUAUGUUUUUUAAUGGUGGUAUAGUUGAGUUAAACAGUUGAAAAGUUAAAACUGAUUGAUUAAUUAAACACUAUAUAUAGAUGACAGCAAACAAUUGAAGUGAAACUUUUACAUGAUCUGAAUCUUGUAUGUUAUUCUAUGAAAAAUGGUGCUAUGUACGUACCUGACUUUGAGUUGAGAUCUCAAAUGAUGACUUGGUCGCCUAUCUCGAUGCAAGGAAUGUGAGCUAUCUUGCUCCACUCUUCUCCUGUCUUCUCCUCACACCCGUAAUACAUGUGUUACACGCGAGAUAUUGACAAAACCCUCAUUAAUUAUUUCCUCACUAACAAGGCGAUAAUUUUGCCAGGAUCAUACAUCCAAGAAUAUGACAACCUGAGUACAAACGAUUUGAUUAUUUUUGCAUCCCAAAUACCACAUAUCCUAUGAUUUCAUCCAAAAACAGUUCAGAAUAUUCAUCUAAAGAACUUAGUUAUGAACAGAGGAGAUCCACAUGAUUUUACGAUGAAGUACAAUUUGACAAAAUAAUUCAUGAUUUACAUAAGAGUAAACGUGUUACCAGUACCACUGCAGCACUUGAAAGUUAAAGUAUCACAAGCAGAUAAUAGGGGCCUUACUAGCUCCGCUUUUUUCCAUGUGCCGGUUGACUCUUCCAACCAUCCAAUAUUCCGGCCUUCCAAUCCAUUGAUGAUGUGGUCGAAUCAACUAGUAUAUAAAAGUAUGGCAUUAAAUAUGAAAAUGCAGAAUGUGGCAGGGCUUAUAUCUCUGGUUUUAUUAAUCUUGUUAUAUACAGGUAGAAAACACUGGAUAUCUGGCAAAACAUUUCCAGGAUGAAGUUCACAUAAAGUCCGUUUUUUCCCAGUUUGCAUGAAAUUCCUACUAAGUAGGUUUGUUCUGCUAUAAGCAAUAAUGUACAUGAUCACACAACUGAGGUUCAGAGUUGUUACCAAGAAAAUUUCUAACAUACGACGGCCUACUCCAACCAUCCUCUAUCAAAAUUAGGUUAAGGCGUAUCAUCAAUUUCUCUGUGGCAUCUUCCACCAAAACAGCUAAUCAAUCAGACAGUCGCCUCCGUAGGGGACGAUCCUGAAGAAUCCAAAUAAAGGUACUUUAUUAGAUUUGGUAUCAAAGUCGGAUGUCAUCUUACAUAUAGAAAUUAGGAAACUUACCUUUUUGUCCUGCUACAACUUUAGAUAUUCAAGUGAUUGCUAAUAAAGUCCACAAUGGUAGAAAAGAAUGAUGUAAUGUCUUAAUUCCUUCGGAUCAGCUUCUGGGAGAAUAAGAUGUUCACAAGCUGUGACAAAGAAGCCUUAGCAGAUGCAAGCUGAACGCCAGUGGAAAAAUACCAAGUAUCCUUAUAUAUGUGCACUUAAGUUGGAUUAGUUUUAAGUAGAAACUACAUUCACUUCGGACAAAGUACCAGUCUUCUUUAUACUUGAUCUAUCAAUAAAGUUAGCAGCACGUGCUGCCUUCAAGAACAAAUUCCCUGGUUGAUCAUGCUGAAAUGGGCCAGAAUGCGCCCUUCAAAUUUUUUUAGAUCUGUACAAACAGUAGACUAUGAGACCAGAUGUAGCUUAAGGUUAAAGCCUUGUACACGUCCGAAGAUCAAUUAUGCAUGUAAAUAAAAUUAUAUAAAGACAAUGUCACACACAAACAAAUGUACACAAAGAUAUAUUUAAUCUUUACCUUGACUCACUUUGAGCACAAAACCCAUGCUUACAACUGCUCAAUUGAAAUCUCAUGGUUGACAUCCUAGCGCAGAGACCUUUAUAAAUACUUUGCUUAUGUUGUAAUGAUCAUGUAGUUCAUUUCAAAUAUCUAUAUCUAAGGUUUUGUAGUUGAUUUCUAACUAAUUUAUCCUAAAUUCUUUAAUACUUUCAAAUCCCUCAUCCAAACGCAGGGUGAGAGAAGUAGGAGUUUUAGCAUACACAACUCAUUGACAUAGGACAAUGCAAAUCAAGGCGAAAAAAAACAGAUCUGUCGACAUGAUAACACAAGUCACCUCACCUCCACUAAAACGGCUUGCGAAGUCAUUAUGUGUGCAUUAUCAGAUUACUUGCUUUUAACCUCUGGGAAGACUAUGAAGAUCAUGACGAAGCAUUUUCAAAAUUUGAGUAUAUGAGCACAAGCAUUGCAGGUGAUCCUGAGCGAUGUGUCAGAACCAGUUUGCAACGUCUACAUUAAACUCCUGAAAACAAUGCCCAUAUUGUAGGGUUCUCACAGAACAACCUUGAGACAACAAACAAGUAAGGCAGACUUCCGUACUGAGUGGAGAGAUAGAGCUCAUGGUUCAGAGUGAUGCCUUGCAUUGGUCCUUCAGAAACCCUGAAAUAAAAUUAAAAAAGGAACCUUGUGACUUAUUGCUCUUUUCUUAAUUUAUUCAUAUUUGUCCAGCCAAUCAAAGUGGUAACAAGUUAGAAACCUUGAUUCUAAGUUCCAAAUGUAGAAUAUCAAAGCUCAUAAGAAUUAGAAACAAAGAGAAGAUUUCAGAGAGUUUUACCUUCACUGGUUUUCUCCAACUCCCAUUAUUUCCAUGUCAAAUGGGGAAAAAUCGUGUUUAAUCCUUUCUUCUCAUCGCUAUUGAAUGUCAAUGUCAACUCGAGCUCAACCCUUUUCCAUACCUCACCUAGAGAAGACGGUCCUGAUUCAAAGAAGAAGAAAUAAUGAUUUAUAAAGUGAUCUUAAUUACUUGUGCAAGUUUGACAAUCUGGACCUUUUCCUUUUGUUAUGAUUCACGCAUAUAAUCCAUUGAUAAUGAUCAUGAAACAAGAAAAGAAAAGGAAACGUAAGUUACACUCCAGUAUUCAACGACUUACGAUGGAAUCUGUAAAAGUGCAGCAGCCAGCCAAAUUCACACGUUGUUUUUGUGCAGAAACAUAUCGGCACCUAUGUAAAGAUGACAGAUGCAAUGAAAGAUGAGUAAGCAUUCCACCGUAUUCAAACCACAACAGUAAGAGGGAAAAAAAACAUCAUCAAGGAGUUACACAACUCACUGACAUAGGACAAUACAAAUUAAGGCAAAACAAACAGUGUCAAAAUCCAAAAUGCCUUACUUCUUUGAGUCAUUAUGUUUGCAUUAUGCCCUUAUCAGACUCCUUGCUUUUUUGUUUAUGAAAACUCUGGGAAGACUAUGAAGAUCGUGAUUCGUGAGGAAAGAAUAUCUCUGCAUAGAAAUCCAAAAGGCCCCAUAAGCGAAGCAUUUCCAAAUUUCUGAGUAUACGAGCACAAGCAUUGCAGGUGAUCCUGAACCAUGUGGCAAAACCUGUUUGCGACGUCUACAUUAAACUCCUAAAAACAAUGCCCGUAUUGUAGGAUUCUCACAGAACAACCUUGAAAUAACCAAGAAGUAUGGCAGACUUCCAUCAUGAGCGGAGAUAUAGAGCUCAUGGUUCAGAUUGAUGCCUUGCAUUGGUCCUUCGGAAACCCU
Molecule: long non-coding RNA, 8710 nt
Filed under: Malus domestica (apple)
Lineage: Eukaryota; Viridiplantae; Streptophyta; Magnoliopsida; Rosales; Rosaceae
Description: long non-coding RNA (MDOM_LNC002198)
Source: RNAcentral